UGGGCAAUCUGCCCUUCUCUUCGGAAUAAGCGUUGGAAACGACGUCUAAUGCCGAAUACGACCUCCUUUCGCAUGAUCGGAGGUGGAAAGCUCCGGCGGAGAAGGAUGAGCUCGCGGCCUAUCAGCUAGUUGGUGUGGGUAAUGGCCCACCAAGGCGACGACGGGUAGCCGGCCUGAGAGGGGCGACCGGCCACACUGGGACUGAGACACGGCCCAGACCUCCGUACGGGAGCAGCAGG
RNAcentral lists this ribosomal RNA (239 nucleotides) under uncultured bacterium. Its description in RNAcentral is "partial 16S ribosomal RNA". It matches the Rfam family "Bacterial small subunit ribosomal RNA", at positions 118 to 354 of the family's 1533-position model. The record is from RNAcentral.